AUGGGGUGCCCCCGCGCCGUGCGGGCGUGUCGGUCGGCGUGUGUUGGGGCCGUGGCGAUCUGCCUCCUCCCGGUCGUACUGCCGCUGCUGCUCCUCUGGCUGCCGCUUCUCUCCUUCGCCGUCGCCGUCGUCCGGUUCCGCCGCCGGCGGAGGAGAAUGAUGAUGACUAGGGGUGGCCGCUGCUUUCACGGCGGUGAUCGAUCGCCUCCGCCGGAAAGUGAGCCGGAUGGCCACCGGGCGGCGCGGCUGCACAAGUACCUCGAGGACCAGAUGGAGCUAGUGGAGGAGGAGGCCGGGGACGCCAUGGCGGCCGUGCUUGCAAGAAAUCCAUGGGCAGCGUAA
RNAcentral lists this ribosomal RNA (342 nucleotides) under Triticum aestivum (bread wheat). RNAcentral's name for it is "partial small subunit ribosomal RNA". Lineage: Eukaryota; Viridiplantae; Streptophyta; Magnoliopsida; Poales; Poaceae. The record is from RNAcentral.